GCGUACCGAACAAAAGUAGGGAAGUUGGUAUAGGGGCUGUCAAGAAAAGCCGCUAUUGUGUAAUACGUGCCCGUACCGUAAACCGACACAGGUGGAUGAGGAGAGAAUCCUAAGGCCGGCGGGAGAAGCAUUGUUAAGGAACUCGGCAAAAUGACCCUGUAACUUCGGGAUAAAGGGUGCCCACGAGAGUGGGCCGCAGAGAAUAGGCUCAAGCAACUGUUUAGCAAAAACACAGGUCUAUGCAAAACCGAAAGGUGAGGUAUAUGGGCUGACGCCUGCCCGGUGCUGGAAGGUUAAGAGGAGAGGUUAGAGCAAUCGAAGCUUUGAAUUUAAGCCCCAGUAAACGGCGGCCGUAACUAUAACGGUCCUAAGGUAGCGAAAUUCCUUGUCGGGUAAGUUCCGACCCGCACGAAAGGCGUAAUGAUUUGAGCGCUGUCUCGACAAUGCACCCGGUGAAAUUGAAGUACCAGUGAAGAUGCUGGUUACCUGCGCCAGGACGGAAAGACCCCAUGGAGCUUUACUCCAGCUUGAUACUGGGAUUCGGUGUCGCAUGUACAGGAUAGGUGGGAGGCAAUGAAGGCAGGACGCCAGUCUUGCCGGAGCCAUUGUUGGGAUACCACCCUUGCGAUAUUGGGUUUCUAACCUGCGGCCAUGACCUGGCCGGGGGACAAUGUCAGGUGGGGAGUUUGACUGGGGCGGUCGCCUCCGAAAGAGUAUCGGAGGCGCUCAAAGGUUCCCUCAGAAUGGACGGAAACCAUUCGAAGAGUGCAAAGGCAUAAGGGAGCUUGACUGCGAGACUGACGGGUCGAGCAGGUACGAAAGUAGGACUUAGUGAUCCGGUGGUAUAAAGUGGGAUUGCCAUCGCUCAACGGAUAAAAGCUACCCUGGGGAUAACAGGCUUAUCACUCCCAAGAGUUCACAUCGACGGAGUGGU
Molecule: ribosomal RNA, 934 nt
Filed under: metagenome
Description: bacterial LSU rRNA
Rfam family: Bacterial large subunit ribosomal RNA
Source: RNAcentral